GACGAACGCUGGCGGCGCGCUUAACACAUGCAAGUCGAACGACGCCCCCCUGGCUUGCCAGGGGGUGACGGAGUGGCGAACGGGUGAGUAACACGUGAGCAACCUACCCCGAAGACCCGGGACAACAUCGGGAAACCGGUGCUAAUACCGGAUGCUCUCACCGGGCCGCAUGACCGGGUGAGGAAAUGGAUUCUGCUUCGGGAUGGGCUCGCGGCCUAUCAGCUUGUUGGUGGGGUAACGGCCUACCAAGGCUUCGACGGGUAGCUGGUCUGAGAGGACGAUCAGCCACACUGGGACUGAGACACGGCCCAGACUCCUACGGGAGGCAGCAGUGGGGAAUCUUGCGCAAUGGGCGAAAGCCUGACGCAGCGACGCCGCGUGCGGGAUGACGGCCUUCGGGUUGUAAACCGCUUUCAGUAGGGACGAGAUUGACGGUACCUGCAGAAGAAGCCCCGGCCAACUACGUG
RNAcentral lists this ribosomal RNA (467 nucleotides) under uncultured bacterium. RNAcentral's name for it is "bacterial SSU rRNA". It matches the Rfam family "Bacterial small subunit ribosomal RNA", at positions 28 to 507 of the family's 1533-position model. The record is from RNAcentral.